AAGAGCUGUAUGACGGGAGACUUUCAAGUACGAUUCCGUAAACGGCAAGGGCUGAAAUGCUCUUGCCCACUCGAC
This 75-nucleotide unclassified non-coding RNA is filed under the name Spirosoma endophyticum. The record is from RNAcentral. Lineage: Bacteria; Pseudomonadati; Bacteroidota; Cytophagia; Cytophagales; Cytophagaceae.